GACGAACGCUGGCGGCGUGCUUAACACAUGCAAGUCGAACGGAGCGAAAUGGAAGCUUGCUUCUAUGGAGCUUAGUGGCGAACGGGUGAGUAACGCGUAAUCAACCUGCCCUUCAGAGGGGGACAACAGUUGGAAACGACUGCUAAUACCGCAUAAGCGCACAGUACCGCAUGGUACGGUGUGAAAAACUCCGGUGGUAUGAGAUGGACCCGCGUCUGAUUAGGUAGUUGGUGGGGUAACGGCCUACCAAGCCGACGAUCAGUAGCCGACCUGAGAGGGUGACCGGCCACAUUGGGACUGAGACACGGCCCAA
This 313-nucleotide ribosomal RNA is filed under the name uncultured bacterium. RNAcentral's name for it is "bacterial SSU rRNA". It matches the Rfam family "Bacterial small subunit ribosomal RNA", at positions 28 to 334 of the family's 1533-position model. The record is from RNAcentral.